AUGCUACUGGCUGUGGAAGGAGGAGGUUUCUUCUCAUCGUCAGCUUCAGGAUACAGUCAUGGCCUUGCUCUUUUGCUGCUUGGACGGAAAGAAGAAGAGAAGCCUGUCAAGGCAUGGAGUCAGUACCGACUAGUCGAUGGGGAAGCUGAGCAUGUGUAUCAUCUGGCUAACACGAAAAACCAAGCUCCCCGUAAAUGUGCUCCCUUCAUCUGCUUCGGUAGCACUGCUUUGGAGCUCGAAGGGGCGUCUCCUCCGAAAUUGAGUUCAAGCAACACUUUGGACUCUUUGGAAGAGCCAUCCCGUUCAACAAAGAAGAAGGUUACCACUAAUGGUUCCAUAACUGGAGAUGAGAGAAAAGGUUGUCUUAAGAGCAACUCAAAAAGGGAUUCGUCAGAGCAUUGUAUAGUGGUGAGUGAAGAUGAAGAACCACGUGAGUCACUGGAAGAGGUGCAAACCUUGAAAUCUGGUAUAGAACGGAGAAAAGUUCAAUGGACUGAUACAUGUGGAAAGAAGCUUUUUGAGAUAAGGGAAUUCGAAGCCAGCGAUGGAAGUUUGUCAGAUGAUGAACUGGAAAAUGAGGGUUUCAGGAAGUGUGAGUGUGUGAUUCAGUAG
RNAcentral lists this ribosomal RNA (612 nucleotides) under Triticum aestivum (bread wheat). Its description in RNAcentral is "partial small subunit ribosomal RNA". The record is from RNAcentral. Lineage: Eukaryota; Viridiplantae; Streptophyta; Magnoliopsida; Poales; Poaceae.